CGAAAGCCUGACGGAGCAACGCCGCGUGUGGGAAGAAGGCUCUUGGGCUGUCAACCACUUUUCUCAGGGAAGAAGAUCUGACGGUACCUGAGGAAUCAGCCUCGGCUAACUCCGUGCCAGCAGCCGCGGUAAUACGGAGGAGGCAAGCGUUAUUCGGAAUUAUUGGGCGUAAAGCGUCCGCAGGGGGCUCAUCAAGUCUGCUGUCAAAGGUCGGAGCUCAACUCCGGUUCGGCAGUGGAAACUGGAUAGCUAGAGGUCGGUAGGGGCAAAGGGAAUUCCCAGUGUAGCGGUGAAAUGCGUAGAGAUUGGGAAGAACACCGGUGGCGAAAGCGCUCUACUGGGUCGCACCUGACCCUCAGGGACGAAAGCUAAGGGAGCG
This 379-nucleotide ribosomal RNA is filed under the name uncultured cyanobacterium. RNAcentral describes it as "bacterial SSU rRNA". It matches the Rfam family "Bacterial small subunit ribosomal RNA", at positions 376 to 770 of the family's 1533-position model. Lineage: Bacteria; Bacillati; Cyanobacteriota. The record is from RNAcentral.